UUCCGGUUGAUCCUGCCGGAGGUCACUGCUAUUGGGAUUCGGCUAAGCCAUGCAAGCGGAGGGCGCGGUCGAAAGAUCGUGGCCCCACACACUGCUCAGUAACACGUAGUCAACUUACCCUUGGGACGGGGACAACCUCGGGAAACUGAGGCUAAUCCCCGAUAGGUGAGGGACGCUGGAAUGCCUCCUCGCCCAAAGCUCCGGCGCCCAAGGACGGGACUGCGGUCUAUCAGGCUGUUGGUGGUGUAACGGACCACCAAACCUACGAUGGGUACGGGCGAUGGGAGUCGGAGCCCGGAGAUGGGGACUGAGACAAGGCCCCAGGCCCUACGGGGCGCAGCAGGCGCGAAAACUCCGCAAUGCGCGCAAGCGUGACGGGGGAAUCCCAAGUGCCGUUGGUCUUAUGAUCGACGGUUUUUAGGAAGUCUAAGAAGCUUCCAGAAUAAGGGCUGGGCAAGACUGGUGCCAGCCGCCGCGGUAACACCAGCAGCCCAAGUGGUGACCACGAUUAUUGGGCCUAAAGCGCUCGUAGCCGGAUCAGCAAGUCCCUUGUGAAAUCGGGCCGCCUAACGGUUCGGCGUGCAAGGGAUACUGUUGGUCUUGAGGCCGGGAGAGGUCGGAGGUACUCCUGGGGUAGCGGUGGAAUGCUCUAAUCCUAGGGGGACCACCAGUGGCGAAGGCGUCCGACCAGAACGGACCUGACGGUGAGGGGCGAAGGCUAGGGGAGCGAACGGGAUUAGAUACCCCGGUAGUCCUAGCUGUAAAGCAUGCGGGCCAGGUGUCUAGCGCUCCUUGAGGGCGCUAGGUGCCGGAGGGAAGCCGUUAAGCCCGCCGCCUGGGAAGUACGGCCGCAAGGCUGAAACUUAAAGAAAUUGGCGGGGGAGCA
RNAcentral lists this ribosomal RNA (886 nucleotides) under uncultured archaeon. Its description in RNAcentral is "bacterial SSU rRNA". It matches the Rfam family "Archaeal small subunit ribosomal RNA", at positions 1 to 878 of the family's 1478-position model. The record is from RNAcentral.